GAAAGGGUUGGGGGAGGGAACUGUGGCCUUAAGAGAGAAAAGAAGAAUGCGGACCCCUCCGUCCAGGGCUGGAGAGGCCAGGCCUAAAAAGGAAUAAAGAGGCGAGGCUCAGAGAGAAGGAGAGAGGGAGGGGCGUAAGGACCCCAAGCCCAAGGAGAAUAAAGGAGGAGAGGGGGAUGGAGAUUUCAGACCCAGGGAGCAGAUGAGGAAGGGGUAGAGAUCCUAACCUUAGUGAGGGAAGGGGAAGGAGCUGAAGUCAUCAGCCUCAGAGGAAAAGACAAGACCCCUUCCCUCCCCUCAAAUCUGUGGGAAGGAAAGGAACUGCCAGCCGUACUGAGAGGUAAAGGCAUAAAGAGCCCCAGGGCUCCCCUCCCCUCACAUUCAUGGAAGGUCCCUUCCCCAUCCAGCUCAGUCUUUGUUCCAGAGUCUCAAGGACAUGCGACCUAAACUCCCAGCUGGGGCCCCAGCUGCUAUUCGUCUUCAAGAGCGAUGGAGGCAGACCCUAAGCACAAUUGUGAGAAAGGAGGUUCGUCUUCGGUACACAGGCCCCUGGGAUGGUGAGAGUAAGCCGUAUCUGGUCAGUCUGCCCCCACCUGUCUAGACAGGACUAGAGGGGAAGUGAAUAGAACCCCCUAGAAGUGCGAACCAUCGCAUGUCAGAGCUGUAAGGAGCCUUAAAAUUCGGCCCGUUCAUGUUCCUCCCUUUGUAAAGGAGAGAACCAAGAUGCAGAACGGGGAAAGCCCUUGCCAGAUCACCACAGGUCGGGCCUGGACUUGGCAUCUAGGCUGAACAGCGGUGCUUCUAGGCAGUAGCCCAGCCUCUCCAGUGGCUGAAGAGGCUGUGGGAGUGUGCCUGCCCUCCACUCCACCCUACCCACCUCCAGAGAACAGGAAACUCUGCCUUUUGAUUCCCCUCUGUCUCACAAAGGAAGUGUUGACCUUUAGGGGUGGUGAGUCUUCAUUGGGAGCCAAACAUUUGGGCCACACAGUGAGGAUGAAGAAGUUCCCAUUCCCAUCGUUUUCCCUUCACUGUCCCAAACGUUGGUCAGGAAGUCAGACUUGGUCUGGCCCUGACCUGCUGUGGUUUGAAGCAUCAUAAUUUAGUAUUCAUUAUGUGUCAGGGGAAACCUAGAAAAUCAUCCCCUCCCGCUUCUGCUUUCCACAGCUCUGUCAUCUCCCAACCUCAAACAGUGGAUUUCAGAAAAAUAGGCAAAGCCUGAGGUACCCCUCACACCAAGGGUAUUCUGAGCUACUUCAGGAUCCUGUGGAAAAGCUGCAUUAUAAUCGAUAGCCUCAUAAAUAAAUGAAGAGUCAACGCAGCCUGUCUCCUCCAGCUCAGGGCAUCUUCAGGAAAAUCGAACCUCGAGCCACUUCUGCUCACCCAUUCUGGAUUUCUACAGAGGCCUCCAGAGGGAAGGAAUCUUACAGGUCAUCCUGAGCAUCCCCCUGCCUCUGGGCUGGCCUGCCAUGUACCCCAUCCAAGGAGGUCUGCUUGCCACCCCUACCCAGGAAGGCCUGCCCUCUCCUGGCAGACUCCCUUCUCCCAGUCCCCUGGGGCUCUCACUGUGAGUUCUUGCUCACCUUCAUUCUCUUGCUCCUGGUGAACUCCCCCUCUCCUUUCCACCCGGGCCAUUUGCUUCUCACCACUCCUGAUUUCUGACUAUUGCUUGGCACCAAACAGGAUCAGCAGCAGGAGGAAGGGAGUCACUCCCCACUCCUCUGGAGUCUCCUCUCCAUACUCACCCCUCCGACUUCUUGUCAUCAAUUGUAAAUGGGCCCCUUGGGAUCUGACAGAGUAUGCAUUUCUGGAAGCAAUGGACAAAGACCCUUGUAACUUUACAGAACAGAUACGUGCCAGUAAGUUGACUGCAAGGCAAUCCUUCCUCUCUCUGCCUUCUAUUACAUCACUGGAGAUGUUCUUCUCGUGGGAAAAAGGAAAUCUCCAACAAGGAAGUUCAAUAUUUUGGAAUCCAAAGACCAAGAGGGUGGUCAGCCCUGUGUGGUGAUGGGCGUCAGCCUUCUGGGUUCCUUGAAACACCUCAGGACCUCUCCUCUGUUUGAUGCCUUGGUUUCCCCUCCGCUUCCCUGGCCCAGACAGAGAACACUCCCAUGGCUAAGGAUUCUUAAGCGCUGCUUGGGUAGUUAGCAUGGAGAAAGGAGUCAUCUGGUUGUGACAGCCCUCUGUAUUCGUAAUUAUUGACCACCAUGCUCCAGUUGAUCCCUGGGGGCUGAAAACUCCUUUAAUUAAAGGUUUCUGACUACAAGAUACUAUAUCCC
This 2276-nucleotide long non-coding RNA is filed under the name Equus asinus (donkey). RNAcentral describes it as "lncRNA (ENSEASG00005038604.1)". Lineage: Eukaryota; Metazoa; Chordata; Mammalia; Perissodactyla; Equidae. The record is from RNAcentral.